RNAcentral lists this ribosomal RNA (253 nucleotides) under uncultured bacterium. RNAcentral describes it as "partial 16S ribosomal RNA". It matches the Rfam family "Bacterial small subunit ribosomal RNA", at positions 524 to 776 of the family's 1533-position model. The record is from RNAcentral.
UACGGAGGGUGCAAGCGUUAUUCGGAAUCAUUGGGUGUAAAGCGCGUGUAGGCGGCUUAGUAAGUCAGAUGUGAAAGCUCCGGGCUUAACUCGGAAAGUGCAUUUGAAACUGCUAGGCUUGAGUCCGGGAGAGGAAGGUGGAAUUCCCAGUGUAGAGGUGAAAUUCGUAGAUAUUGGGAGGAACACCGGUGGCGAAGGCGACCUUCUGGACCGAGACUGACGCUGAGACGCGAAAGCGUGGGGAGCAAACAGG